UCAACAACGGAUCUCUUGGUUCUGGCAUCGAUGAAGAACGCAGCGAAAUGCGAUAAGUAAUGUGAAUUGCAGAAUUCAGUGAAUCAUCGAAUCUUUGAACGCACAUUGCGCCCGCCAGUAUUCUGGCGGGCAUGCCUGUUCGAGCGUCAUUUCAACCAU
RNAcentral lists this ribosomal RNA (159 nucleotides) under Arcopilus aureus. RNAcentral's name for it is "5.8S ribosomal RNA". It matches the Rfam family "5.8S ribosomal RNA". Rfam says of the family: 5.8S ribosomal RNA (5.8S rRNA) is a component of the large subunit of the eukaryotic ribosome. Lineage: Eukaryota; Fungi; Ascomycota; Sordariomycetes; Sordariales; Chaetomiaceae. RNAcentral also lists the same sequence under 1 other name. The record is from RNAcentral.